This 825-nucleotide ribosomal RNA is filed under the name uncultured Sebacinales. Its description in RNAcentral is "eukaryotic LSU rRNA". The stretch from base 176 to 825 matches the Rfam family "Eukaryotic large subunit ribosomal RNA", at positions 1 to 632 of the family's 3401-position model. The record is from RNAcentral. Lineage: Eukaryota; Fungi; Basidiomycota; Agaricomycetes; Sebacinales.
UGGACUUGGACCCUGCCGUGUCACAAUGGCUGGUCUGAAAUGCAUGAGUGCACCCUGCCAUAGCAGCGUCUUCAGUGUGAUAAGUAUCUUCACUGAUCCAAGCUUCCUCUGUGGAACACGCUUGUCUGGUGGGCUCUGGGCUUCCAACCGUCCCCAUGGACAACUCUUGACAAUUUGACCUCAAAUCGGGUGGGAUUACCCGCUGAACUUAAGCAUAUCAAUAAGCGGAGGAAAAGAAACUAACAAGGAUUCCCCUAGUAACGGCGAGUGAAGAGGGAAAAGCUCAAAUUUUGAAUCUGGUACCUUUGGUGCCCGAGUUGUAAUCUAGAGAAGUGUUUUCUGCCUUGGACCACGCAUAAAUUCCCUGGAAUGGGGUGUCAUAGAGGGUGAGAAUCCCGUUUGUGGUGUGGACUACCUUGGCUUUGUGAUACACUCUCAACGAGUCGAGUUGUUUGGGAAUGCAGCUCAAAAUGGGUGGUAAAUUCCAUCUAAAGCUAAAUAUUGGCGAGAGACCGAUAGCGAACAAGUACCGUGAGGGAAAGAUGAAAAGCACUUUGGAAAGAGAGUGAAACAGUACGUGAAAUUGUUGAAAGGGAAGCGCUUGAGGUCAGUCACAUCUGUCAGGACUCAGCCAGGCUUCUGCCUGGUGUACUUCCUGGCCGGUGGGUCAGCGUCAGUUUUGACCGAGGGAAAAAGGCUUGGGGAAUGUGGCUGUCUUCGGGCAGUGUUAUAGCCCCUUGUUGUAUGUCUCGGUUGGGACUGAGGAUCGCAGCACGCCUUAUGGCCGGGGUUCGCGCCCUCGGUACGUGCUUACGAUGCUGGCAU